RNAcentral lists this microRNA precursor (300 nucleotides) under Amborella trichopoda. RNAcentral describes it as "miR8581 stem-loop (atr-MIR8581)". The record is from miRBase by way of RNAcentral. Lineage: Eukaryota; Viridiplantae; Streptophyta; Magnoliopsida; Amborellales; Amborellaceae.
UUAACAUCCUAAUCGUCGUACUAAAAUUCUCUCAUUGUUGGUACUUAUCUAUAUGUUUCGCAUAUGGGUGUUUGAGAGAGGGUUUCUGCCGAACUCAAGUCCCCGACCCGUGACCUCUUUGGGCUCGUAGAAAAUCUAGGUCAAUCAAGUUGGUGGACCUAGUUUUUCCAUCGGCCUGAAGAGGUCUCGGGUCGGGGACCCAGGUUUGGGAGGAAGACUCUCCCUUAGAACAACCACAAGCAAAGCGUGUGGAUAGGUACCAAUGAUGAGAGAAUUUUGGUAUGACGACUAGGGUGCUAG